UACGGGGGGGGCAAGCGUUGUUCGGAAUUACUGGGCGUAAAGGGCUCGUAGGUGGCCAACUAAGUCAGACGUGAAAUCCCUCGGCUUAACCGGGGAACUGCGUCUGAUACUGGAUGGCUAGAGUUUGGGAGAGGGAUGCGGAAUUCCAGGUGUAGCGGUGAAAUGCGUAGAUAUCUGGAGGAACACCGGUGGCGAAGGCGGCAUCCUGGACCAACACUGACGCUGAGGAGCGAAAGCCAAGGGAGCAAACGGG
RNAcentral lists this ribosomal RNA (253 nucleotides) under uncultured bacterium. Its description in RNAcentral is "partial 16S ribosomal RNA". It matches the Rfam family "Bacterial small subunit ribosomal RNA", at positions 524 to 776 of the family's 1533-position model. The record is from RNAcentral.